RNAcentral lists this ribosomal RNA (411 nucleotides) under uncultured prokaryote. RNAcentral's name for it is "partial 16S ribosomal RNA". The record is from RNAcentral.
CCCUAUGGGGUGCAGCAGGCGUUCCUUUUCGUCGUCAUCCGGGGUAAAUCCAUAGACGAUCUUCGAAGCAGGGUUCUGAGGAGCGCAAAGGGCUUCUUUUCCCUUGAGGACAUCAAUUGUCUUCAGAAGCAGGUCCAAUUCCCCGAUUUUGUGAGAGGCGAACAGGACGUAAUCGCCCAUAUCGACAAUAUGUAGUUCCAGCUCUUUGAGGGGCAUGUAAAAACGAUCCGCUCUAUAGCCGCCGAUAAAGGGAGAAGGCAUGCCGAUCAUCUUGCUUGUCUGCUGGUCGGCGGUCAGAUGUUCGUUCAGAUGUUCAGAAGAAUGCCGGGCAAUGAUCUCCUUCACCUUCGGCUUGUCGAAAUUGCCCUUCAGAACCAAAACGCCGUCGGUGGAAGGAAGUGGCGGGGGGGC